GAUGAAGAACGUAGCGAAAUGCGAUAAGUAAUGUGAAUUGCAGAAUUCAGUGAAUCAUCGAAUCAUUGAACGCACAUUGCGCCCGCCAGUAUUCUGGCGGGCAUGCCUGUCCGAGCGUCAUUUCAACCCUCGAACCCCUCCGGGGGGUCGGCGUUGGGGACCUCGGGAGCCCCUAAGACGGGAUCCCGGCCCCGAAAUACAGUGGCGGUCUCGCCGCAGCCUCUCCUGCGCAGUAGUUUGCACAACUCGCACCGGGAGCGCGGCGCGUCCACGUCCGUAAAACACCCAACUUCUGAAAUGUUGACCUCGGAUCAGGUAGGAAUACCCGCUGAACUUAAGCAUAUCAAUAAGCGGAGGA
RNAcentral lists this unclassified non-coding RNA (358 nucleotides) under soil metagenome. Its description in RNAcentral is "partial contains 5.8S ribosomal RNA, internal transcribed spacer 2, and large subunit ribosomal RNA". The stretch from base 1 to 120 matches the Rfam family "5.8S ribosomal RNA", at positions 35 to 154 of the family's 154-position model. The record is from RNAcentral.